This 492-nucleotide ribosomal RNA is filed under the name uncultured bacterium. RNAcentral's name for it is "partial 16S ribosomal RNA". It matches the Rfam family "Bacterial small subunit ribosomal RNA", at positions 29 to 507 of the family's 1533-position model. The record is from RNAcentral.
AGUGAACGCUGGCGGUAGGCCUAACACAUGCAAGUCGAACGGCAGCACAGUAAGAGCUUGCUCUUACGGGUGGCGAGUGGCGGACGGGUGAGGAAUACAUCGGAAUCUACUUUUUCGUGGGGGAUAACGUAGGGAAACUUACGCUAAUACCGCAUACGACCUACGGGUGAAAGCAGGGGAUCUUCGGACCUUGCGCGAUUGAAUGAGCCGAUGUCGGAUUAGCUAGUUGGCGGGGUAAAGGCCCACCAAGGCGACGAUCCGUAGCUGGUCUGAGAGGAUGAUCAGCCACAUUGGAACUGAGACACGGUCCAGACUCCUACGGGAGGCAGCAGUGGGGAAUGUUGGGCAAUGGGCGAAAGCCUGAUCGAGCCAUGCCGCGUGAGUGAUGAAGGCCUUCGGAUUGUAAAACCCUGUUAUUAGGGAAGAACAGCUGUGUAAGUAACUGUGCGUAUCUUGACGGUACCUAAUCAGAAAGCCACGGCUAACUACGUG